Molecule: long non-coding RNA, 1054 nt
Filed under: Bos grunniens (domestic yak)
Lineage: Eukaryota; Metazoa; Chordata; Mammalia; Artiodactyla; Bovidae
Description: lncRNA (ENSBGRG00000011081.1)
Source: RNAcentral
GCAGGGGCAAGAUGGGCUCAGGUCUGGGUACCCCCCGCCACCCCAGGUCGCAGGGGUGUGGAAGGUAUUCUGCUAGGCAGUGACUCCUUCCAUAGGGCUAGACCUGCUGGGGCCUGAAGCUGGUUAUGAAGAGAAAUCUAAAACAGGUUUGUGGGUGAGUCAGUAGCUGGGAGUGCACAAAAAAAUAGGCCUCUUGGAGGUCUUCCCUCAGCUCCUGCAGAUCAGGUGGCCGCCCACGCCUGCUUGCUGGACGGCCAGGACCACAGUGACCCAAGAACCAGCGGGAGCAGGUUUGCUGGGCCGCAGGGUGCCUUCCUGCGGGACCUGGCCUCACUGUUUUGUCUACAGUGCUGCAGGGGGUUGGGGAAGGGACGCUGGCCAAGGCUACAUCUGAGACCUUGUUCCCAACCACAGACGGGGCGGGUUGGUCGGAAAAUAUUCCUUUCCUGAGACAUAGAAGCUCAGCCUCUUUGAAUCACUUGGCCACUUCCUUCCUGUGUGUGUCUUACGCACACUGGCUGGGGGACCGGGCGGGUUCAGGGUGUGUUGUUGUUGCUUGUUUUUAAGUUUAUGUCUACUGUCUUGUUCCUUUUCAAGUUGCACGAGAGAGGGGUGGGGUUCGUCCUAAGAGGCCUUUGUCACUGAAGCGGAUGUCGGAGAUGACUUGGGUUUUCUCUGCAAGUGAAAAACCUCUACUUGUGAGAAUGAAAAGGAAGAAGGGUCUCCUUAGGGCCACAGGUUGAUUUCCAUCUCAAGAGAAGUCCCAAGAUUCAGAGGAUUCAGACAGGAAGAGAGAUGAAUUCUAGGAACGGAGUUUUCAUGAUGGUUUAACUUCAACAUAAGUGGAGAUGGUCCUUCUCCCACCUCUGCCUUCUACCCUGCCAGGGGACACUCCUGGUGGGUCCUUCCCCUUCGUCAGUCCUCCCAGCCCUGCUGUUCUUCAUUCUGCCCAGUUGGCCCUUCCCACCCCAUCUGGCCCUGAGCCUCCGGGGACUGGCCUCCAGUGCUCCUGAAAGGUGUGCACCCUAGCCGUCCCUCUGUCCCUGCUGUCCCU